Molecule: ribosomal RNA, 1058 nt
Filed under: uncultured bacterium
Lineage: Bacteria
Description: bacterial SSU rRNA
Rfam family: Bacterial small subunit ribosomal RNA
Source: RNAcentral
GGUAACAUUGGUGCUUGCACCAGAUGACGAGUGGCGCACGGGUGCGUAACGCGUAUGCAAUCUACCUUUUACUAGAGUAUAGCCCAGAGAAAUUUGGAUUAAUCCUCUAUAAUAUCCUUUAAUUUCAUGAUUUUAAGAUUAAAGUUUUAACGGUAAAAGAUGAGCAUGCGUCCUAUUAGUUUGUAGGUGAGGUAACGGCUCACCUAGACUACGAUAGGUAGGGGCCCUGAGAGGGGGAUCCCCCACACUGGUACUGAGACACGGACCAGACUCCUACGGGAGGCAGCAGUAAGGAAUAUUGGACAAUGGACGAAAGUCUGAUCCAGCCAUGCCGCGUGCAGGAUGAAAGCCCUACGGGUUGUAAACUGCUUUUAUACAGGAAGAAACACUCCGACGUGUCGGAGCUUGACGGUACUGUAAGAAUAAGGAUCGGCUAACUCCGUGCCAGCAGCCGCGGUAAUACGGAGGAUCCAAGCGUUAUCCGGAAUCAUUGGGUUUAAAGGGUCCGCAGGCUGUUUUUUAAGUCAGAGGUGAAAUCCUACAGCUCAACUGUAGAACUGCCUUUGAUACUGAAAAACUUGAGUUAUUGUGAAGUGGUUAGAAUGUGUGGUGUAGCGGUGAAAUGCAUAGAUAUCACACAGAAUACCGAUUGCGAAGGCAGAUCACUAACAAUAUACUGACGCUCAUGGACGAAAGCGUGGGGAGCGAACAGGAUUAGAUACCCUGGUAGUCCACGCCGUAAACGAUGGAUACUAGCUGUUCGUCUAACAUUGGUUAGAUGAGUGGCUAAGCGAAAGUGAUAAGUAUCCCACCUGGGGAGUACGGUCGCAAGACUGAAACUCAAAGGAAUUGACGGGGGCCCGCACAAGCGGUGGAGCAUGUGGUUUAAUUCGAUGAUACGCGAGGAACCUUACCAGGGCUUAAAUGUAGUGGGACAGGUCUAGAGAUAGACCCUUCUUCGGACUCGUUACAAGGUGCUGCAUGGUUGUCGUCAGCUCGUGCCGUGAGGUGUCAGGUUAAGUCCUAUAACGAGCGCAACCCCUAUCGUUAGUUGCCAG